This 254-nucleotide ribosomal RNA is filed under the name uncultured bacterium. RNAcentral describes it as "partial 16S ribosomal RNA". It matches the Rfam family "Bacterial small subunit ribosomal RNA", at positions 524 to 776 of the family's 1533-position model. The record is from RNAcentral.
CACGUAGGGGCCAAGCGUUGUCCGGAUUUAUUGGGCGUAAAGAGCUCGUAGGCGGUUCGACAAGUCGGGUGUGAAAACUCCGGGCUCAACCCGGAGACGCCACCCGAUACUGUCGUGACUGGAGUCCGGUAGGGGAGUGGGGAAUUCCUGGUGUAGCGGUGAAAUACGCAGAUAUCAGGAGGAACACCGGUGGCGAAGGCGCCACUCUGGGCCGGUACUGACGCUGAGGAGCGAAAGCGUGGGUAGCAAACAGG